RNAcentral lists this ribosomal RNA (396 nucleotides) under uncultured Acidobacteriaceae bacterium. Its description in RNAcentral is "bacterial SSU rRNA". It matches the Rfam family "Bacterial small subunit ribosomal RNA", at positions 987 to 1382 of the family's 1533-position model. Lineage: Bacteria; Pseudomonadati; Acidobacteriota; Terriglobia; Terriglobales; Acidobacteriaceae. The record is from RNAcentral.
AUCCCUGACAGUCCUGGAAACAGGAUCCUUUCUUCGGGAAACAGGGAGACAGGUGCUGCAUGGCUGUCGUCAGCUCGUGUCGUGAGAUGUUGGUUAAGUCCCGCAACGAGCGCAACCCCUAUUAUUAGUUGCCAUCGGUUCGGCCGGGCACUCUAAUGAUACUGCCUCGGGUUAAACGGGGAGGAAGGUGGGAUGACGUCAAGUCCUCAUGGCCUCUAUGUCCAGGGCUACACACGUGCUACAAUGGGCUGUACAAAGGGCAGCAAUCCCGCGAGGGUGAGCCAAUCCCAUAAAGCCAGUCGUAGUCCGGAUCGCAGUUUGCAACUCGACUGCGUGAAGUCGGAAUCGCUAGUAAUCGCGGAUCAGCAUGUCGCGGUGAAUACGUUCCCGGGUCUU